This is a long non-coding RNA of Tympanuchus pallidicinctus (lesser prairie-chicken), 403 nucleotides long. RefSeq lists it as uncharacterized. NCBI's taxonomy places the organism in Eukaryota, Metazoa, Chordata, Aves, Galliformes, Phasianidae. The record is from RefSeq and is a predicted model, not a curated record. The transcript is spliced from 4 exons.
GCCCACCCGGCGCGCGGCGGCGGCGGCGCUGAGGGGAGGCGGGCGGCAGGUAGAAAAGAGGCGCUUUAUUGGUGAGGUCAGUCUUGUCCCAGCGUCCCCCGGAAAGGACGAAGCGUUUCUGCCGGUUGCGCCCGUUCUGGCCGUCCGGCAGCACCGGGAGGUCUGGCACACCACAGCGGGGUGUGAUGUUUUCGAGACAUGUCCUGGAAGAGAAAAACAAAGCUGUCACUUCUGUGUCUUGGAUAUGAGAGGUCUUGAUGGAGGAAUGGACAUCUACCAACAGCAGACCUGCAGAGCUGUCUCAGUACUCAAAUUCUGUGACAACAUACAUCUCUCCAGCUCUGAUGGGGCCAGAUGAACAUCAGCCAAACUUCCCAGGAAGUGUCCCAGCCAUCCCAAGGAG